Molecule: ribosomal RNA, 254 nt
Filed under: uncultured bacterium
Lineage: Bacteria
Description: partial 16S ribosomal RNA
Rfam family: Bacterial small subunit ribosomal RNA
Source: RNAcentral
UACGUAGGGUGCGAGCGUUGUCCGGAAUUAUUGGGCGUAAAGGGCUCGUAGGCGGUUUGCCGCGUCGGGAGUGAAAACGCCGUGCUUAACACGGCGCUUGCUUUCGAUACGGGCAGACUAGAGGUAUUCAGGGGAGAACGGAAUUCCUGGUGUAGCGGUGAAAUGCGCAGAGUAUCAGGAGGAACACCGGUGGCGAAGGCGGUUCUCUGGGAAUGACCUGACGCUGAGGAGCGAAAGUGUGGGGAGCGAACGGG